This 237-nucleotide ribosomal RNA is filed under the name uncultured bacterium. RNAcentral describes it as "partial 16S ribosomal RNA". It matches the Rfam family "Bacterial small subunit ribosomal RNA", at positions 118 to 347 of the family's 1533-position model. The record is from RNAcentral.
UGAGGAACAUGACCUUCGGCGGGGGAGUAGCCGGCCCAACGGCCGGGUAAUACCGCGUACGACCACAUGGGGACAUCCCCGAGUGGUGAAAGCAGCAAUGCGCCGAUGGAGUGCCUCGCGGCCUAUCAGCUAGUUGGUGAGGUAACGGCUCACCAAGGCGACGACGGGUAGCCGGCCUGGAGAGGGCGAUCGGCCACACGUGGGACUGAGACACGGCCCUGACCUCCGUACGGGGAG